This 467-nucleotide ribosomal RNA is filed under the name uncultured bacterium. RNAcentral describes it as "partial 16S ribosomal RNA". It matches the Rfam family "Bacterial small subunit ribosomal RNA", at positions 28 to 507 of the family's 1533-position model. The record is from RNAcentral.
GACGAACGCUGGCGGCGUGCUUAACACAUGCCAGUCGAACGAUGACGACCGAGCUUGCUCGGUCUGAUUAGUGGCGAACGGGCGAGUAACACGUGAGCAACCUGCCCUUCACUCUGGGAUAACCUCGGGAAAUCGGGGCUAAUACCGGAUAUGAGCUCCUGUCGCAUGGCGGGUGUUGGAAAGUUUUUCGGUGAAGGAUGGGCUCGCGGCCUAUCAGUUUGUUGGUGAGGUAGUGGCUCACCAAGGCGAUGACGGGUAGCCGGCCUGAGGGGGCGACCGGCCACACUGGGACUGAGACACGGCCCAGACUCCUACGGGAGGCAGCAGUGGGGAAUAUUGCACAAUGGGCGAAAGCCUGAUGCAGCGACGCCGCGUGAGGGAUGACGGCCUUCGGGUUGUAAACCUCUUUCAGCAGGGAAGAAGCGAAAGUGACGGUACCUGCAGAAGAAGCGCCGGCUAACUACGUG